AAUUUUGCUCAAUGGGCGCAAGCCUGAAGCAGCGACGCCGCGUGAAUGAUGAAGUCUUUCGGGAUGUAAAGUUCUGUCAACAGGGACAAUAAUGAUGGUACCUGUGGAGGAAGCACCGGCAAACUAUGUGCCAGCAGCCGCGGUAAUACAUAGGGUGCAAGCGUUAUCCGGAUUUACUGGGCGUAAAGCGUAUGUAGGCGGCAUUUUAAGUCAAACUUCAAAUCCCGGGGCUCAACCUCGGUUCGGGUUUGAGACUGGAAUGCUAGAGUUUGGGAGAGGAAAGCGGAACUAACAGUGUAGCGGUGAAAUGCGUAGAUAUUGUUAGGAACACCCGUGGCGAAGGCGGCUUUCUGGAUCAAUACUGACGCUGAGAUACGAAAGCGUGGGGAGCAA
RNAcentral lists this ribosomal RNA (393 nucleotides) under uncultured bacterium. RNAcentral describes it as "bacterial SSU rRNA". It matches the Rfam family "Bacterial small subunit ribosomal RNA", at positions 360 to 771 of the family's 1533-position model. The record is from RNAcentral.